AACGAACGCUGGCGGCGCGUCUUAAGCAUGCAAGUCGAACGGCAAGAGAGGAGCUUGCUUCUCUCCUAGAGUGGCGGACUGGUGAGGAACACGUGGGUAAUCUACCCUUAAGAUGGGGAUAGCUGCUAGAAAUAGCAGGUAAUACCGAAUACACUCGGCAUAUCACAAGAGGUGUUGAGGAAAGGAAGCUACGGCUUCGCUUGAGGAUGAGCUUGCGUCCCAUUAGCUAGUUGGUGAGGUAAAGGCCCACCAAGGCGACGAUGGGUAUCCGGCCUGAGAGGGUGAACGGACACAUUGGGACUGAGAUACGGCCCAAACUCCUACGGGAGGCAGCGGCUAAGAAUAUUCCGCAAUGGACGGAAGUCUGACGGAGCGACGCCGCGUGGAUGAAGAAGGCUGAAAAGUUGUAAAAUCCUUUUGUUGAUGAAGAAUAAGGGUGAGAGGGAAUGCUCAUCUGAUGACGGUAAUCGACGAAUAAGCCCCGGCUAAUUACGUG
Molecule: ribosomal RNA, 496 nt
Filed under: uncultured bacterium
Lineage: Bacteria
Description: partial 16S ribosomal RNA
Rfam family: Bacterial small subunit ribosomal RNA
Source: RNAcentral